AGUAAACCGUAUAGCUUCAGUUUAGCAAGUGCAGGCGCGGAGCAGUUUCAGCAUAUCUGACAACAUUUCUUCCAUUCAAGUUAGGUCAGUUUCUCCUGCGAUGUCAUUGGCUGGUCGGAAAUGUGGACUACAAGUCAUCCUCUGCUGGUACCCGCAUAACACAGAAUGAUGACCGACCUCAUCCGAAGAGUUCAUGUUGAAAACUGCUGUACCGUGAUGUUGCUUAAAUAAAGAGCAAAUUCUCUGUGCUUACUAUAUGUGUUUGUAGUACUCAAAUAUUCAUGUACUUUCCAUCUCAACCACGUCCAUGCAUUUGAAAACUUUUUUUUUUU
Molecule: long non-coding RNA, 332 nt
Organism: Gadus macrocephalus (Pacific cod)
Lineage: Eukaryota; Metazoa; Chordata; Actinopteri; Gadiformes; Gadidae
Exons: 2
Source: RefSeq, a predicted model, not a curated record